CUCAGAGCGAACGCUGGCGGCAGGCCUAACACAUGCAAGUCGAGCGGCCGUAGCAAUACGGCAGCGGCAGACGGGAGAGUAACACGUGGGAACGUGCCCUUUGGUUCGGAACAACACAGGGAAACUUGUGCUAAUACCGGAUACGCCCUUACGGGGAAAGAUUUAUCGCCAAAGGAUCGGCCCGCGUCUGAUUAGCUAGUUGGUGGGGUAACGGCCCACCAAGGCGACGAUCAGUAGCUGGUCUGAGAGGAUGAUCAGCCUCACUGGGACUGAGACACGGCCCAGACUCCUACGGGAGGCAGCAGUGGGGAAUAUUGGACAAUGGGCGCAAGCCUGAUCCAGCCAUGCCGCGUGGAUGAUGAAGGCCCUAGGGUUGUAAAGUCCUUUCGGCGGGGAAGAUAAUGACGGUACCCGCAGAAGAAGCCCCGGCUAACUUCGUGCCAGCAGCCGCGGUAAUACGAAGGGGGCUAGCGUUGCUCGGAAUCACUGGGCGUAAAGCGCACGUAGGCGGCUUUCUAAGUCAGGGGUGAAAUCCUGGAGCUCAACUCCA
RNAcentral lists this ribosomal RNA (550 nucleotides) under uncultured bacterium. Its description in RNAcentral is "bacterial SSU rRNA". It matches the Rfam family "Bacterial small subunit ribosomal RNA", at positions 23 to 617 of the family's 1533-position model. The record is from RNAcentral.